GAUGAAGAACGCAGCGAAAUGCGAUACUUGGUGUGAAUUGCAGAAUCCCGUGAACCAUCGAGUCUUUGAACGCAAGUUGCGCCUCAAGCCAUUAGGUUGAGGGCACGUCUGCCUGGGCGUCACAUAUCGUUGCCUGAUGCCAGUUUCCUCGUGAUGGGUGACUGUGCAGGGCGAAUGAUGGCUUCCCGUGAGCAUUGUUGCCUCAUGGUUGGUUGAAAAUUGAGUCCUUGGUAGGGAGCGCCGUGAUAGAUGGUGGUUGAGUGACGAACGAGACCCAAUCAUGUGAGACCCCUACCGAAUUUGGCCCUCAUGACCCACAUGCGUCUUUGGAACGCUCAUGACGAGACCUCAGGUCAGGCGGGGCUACCCGCUGAGUUUAAGCAUAUCAAUAAGCGGAGGA
RNAcentral lists this unclassified non-coding RNA (400 nucleotides) under soil metagenome. RNAcentral's name for it is "partial contains 5.8S ribosomal RNA, internal transcribed spacer 2, and large subunit ribosomal RNA". The stretch from base 1 to 122 matches the Rfam family "5.8S ribosomal RNA", at positions 35 to 154 of the family's 154-position model. The record is from RNAcentral.